GUUAACCGGUCGCGUUGAAUCUCCAAGAGUGUUAUCGAGUUCGGAAGGGUAGAACCAGGUUUGGACUCUACAGGUUUGUGGCUGAGUUGGGUUUGUAUCUCGACAGGGAACUCAGCUACAUGAUGGCGUUUGAAAUCGUAGGCGCCAGUGCCGUACACCUUGGUCAUUGUGGCACCUGUAAUUGAAAAUGAUAAGUUUAUGUGAAAAUAAUAGAUGGAUUUGGGGAAUUGUG
This 232-nucleotide unclassified non-coding RNA is filed under the name Hevea brasiliensis (rubber tree). Lineage: Eukaryota; Viridiplantae; Streptophyta; Magnoliopsida; Malpighiales; Euphorbiaceae. The record is from RNAcentral.